GACGAACGCUGGCGGCGUGCUUAACACAUGCAAGUCGAACGCUGAACCCGCUUCGGUGGGGGAUGAGUGGCGAACGGGUGAGUAGCACGUGGGCAACCUGCCCCCGGCUCUGGGAUAACUCCAAGAAAUUGGGGCUAAUACCGGAUGUGACCGCUGGCCGCAUGGUCUGGUGGUGGAAAGGGUUUCCGGCUGGGGAUGGGCCCGCGGCCUAUCAGCUUGUUGGUGGGGUAGUGGCCUACCAAGGCGACGACGGGUAGCCGGCCUGAGAGGGUGACCGGCCACAAUGGGACUGAGACACGGCCCAGACUCCUACGGGAGGCAGCAGUGGGGAAUAUUGCGCAAUGGGCGGAAGCCUGACGCAGCGACGCCGCGUGGGGGAUGACGGCCUUCGGGUUGUAAACCUCUUUCAGCAGGGACGAAGCGCAAGUGACGGUACCUGCAGAAGAAGCACCGGCCAACUACGUG
This 465-nucleotide ribosomal RNA is filed under the name uncultured bacterium. RNAcentral describes it as "partial 16S ribosomal RNA". It matches the Rfam family "Bacterial small subunit ribosomal RNA", at positions 28 to 507 of the family's 1533-position model. The record is from RNAcentral.